AAGUCAUUGUCUUAGUAGCGGCGAGUGAAGCGGCAAAAGCUCAAAUUUGAAAUCUGGCACCUUCGGUGUCCGAGUUGUAAUUUGAAGAUUGUAACCUUGGGGUUGGCUCUUGUCUAUGUUUCUUGGAACAGGACGUCACAGAGGGUGAGAAUCCCGUGCGAUGAGAUGCCCAAUCCUAUGUAAGGUGCUUUCGAAGAGUCGAGUUGUUUGGGAAUGCAGCUCUUAGUGGGUGGUAAAUUCCAUCUAAAGCUAAAUAUUGGCGAGAGACCGAUAGCGAACAAGUACAGUGAUGGAAAGAUGAAAAGAACUUUGAAAAGAGAGUGAAAAAGUACGUGAAAUUGUUGAAAGGGAAGGGUUUGAGAUCCGGACUCGAUAUUUUGUGAGCCUUGCCUUCGUGGCGGGGUGACCCGCAGCUUAUCGGGCCAGCAUCGGUUUGGGCGGUAGGAUAAUGGCGUAGGAAUGUGACUUUGCUUCGGUGAAGUGUUAUAGCCUGCGUUGAUGCUGCCUGCCUAGACCGAGGACUGCGAUUUUAUCAAGGAUGCUGCCCGCAUAAGAUCCC
This 559-nucleotide ribosomal RNA is filed under the name Meyerozyma sp. Its description in RNAcentral is "eukaryotic LSU rRNA". It matches the Rfam family "Eukaryotic large subunit ribosomal RNA", at positions 69 to 641 of the family's 3401-position model. Lineage: Eukaryota; Fungi; Ascomycota; Pichiomycetes; Serinales; Debaryomycetaceae. The record is from RNAcentral.